AGUGAACGCUGGCGGUAGGCCUAACACAUGCAAGUCGAACGGCAGCACAGUAAGAGCUUGCUCUUACGGGUGGCGAGUGGCGGACGGGUGAGGAAUACAUCGGAAUCUACUUUUUCGUGGGGGAUAACGUAGGGAAACUUACGCUAAUACCGCAUACGACCUACGGGUGAAAGCAGGGGAUCUUCGGACCUUGCGCGAUUGAAUGAGCCGAUGUCGGAUUAGCUAGUUGGCGGGGUAAAGGCCCACCAAGGCGACGAUCCGUAGCUGGUCUGAGAGGAUGAUCAGCCACACUGGAACUGAGACACGGUCCAGACUCCUACGGGAGGCAGCAGUGGGGAAUAUUGGACAAUGGGCGCAAGCCUGAUCCAGCCAUACCGCGUGGGUGAAGAAGGCCUUCGGGUAGUAAAGCCCUUUUGUUGGGAAAGAAAAGCAGCAGGUUAAUACCCCGCUGUUCUGACGGUACCCAAAGAAUAAGCACCGGCUAACUUCGUG
RNAcentral lists this ribosomal RNA (492 nucleotides) under uncultured bacterium. Its description in RNAcentral is "partial 16S ribosomal RNA". It matches the Rfam family "Bacterial small subunit ribosomal RNA", at positions 29 to 507 of the family's 1533-position model. The record is from RNAcentral.